RNAcentral lists this transfer RNA (75 nucleotides) under Microcaldota archaeon. RNAcentral describes it as "tRNA-Glu". It matches the Rfam family "tRNA". Rfam says of the family: Transfer RNA (tRNA) molecules are approximately 80 nucleotides in length. Their secondary structure includes four short double-helical elements and three loops (D, anti-codon, and T loops). The record is from RNAcentral. Lineage: Archaea; Nanobdellati; Microcaldota.
GCUCCGAUCGUCUAGUCCGGUCAAGGACGCGGUCCUCUCAAGGCCGAGACCCGGGUCCAAAUCCCGGUCGGAGCA